GCAUCAUUGGUCUAGUGGUAGAAUACAACGUUGCCAUCGUUGUGAUCCGAGUUCGAUUCUCGGAUGAUGCA
RNAcentral lists this transfer RNA (71 nucleotides) under Perkinsus marinus ATCC 50983. It matches the Rfam family "tRNA". From Rfam's summary of the family: Transfer RNA (tRNA) molecules are approximately 80 nucleotides in length. Their secondary structure includes four short double-helical elements and three loops (D, anti-codon, and T loops). Lineage: Eukaryota; Perkinsozoa; Perkinsida; Perkinsidae. The record is from Rfam by way of RNAcentral.